GUACUCUCUUUGGCACCACAUAUACUAAAAUUGGAUGAUACAGAGAAGGUUAGCAUGGCGCCUGCACAAGGAUGACACUCAAAUUCAUGACAUGUUCCUCAUUUGG
Bison bison bison is the source of this 106-nucleotide small nuclear RNA. The record is from Ensembl. NCBI's taxonomy places the organism in Eukaryota, Metazoa, Chordata, Mammalia, Artiodactyla, Bovidae.